UUGCUGGAGGUAUCAGAAGUGCGAAUGCUGACAUAAGUAACGAUAAAGCGGGUGAAAAGCCCGCUCGCCGGAAGACCAAGGGUUCCUGUCCAACGUUAAUCGGGGCAGGGUGAGUCGACCCCUAAGGCGAGGCCGAAAGGCGUAGUCGAUGGGAAACGGGUUAAUAUUCCCGUACUUGGUGUUACUGCGAAGGGGGGACGGAGAAGGCUAUGUUGGCCGGGCGACGGUUGUCCCGGUUUAAGCGUGUAGGUGUGUGUUCCAGGUAAAUCCGGUUCACUUUAACACUGAGGCGUGACGACGAGGCACUACGGUGCUGAAGCAACAAAUGCCCUGCUUCCAGGAAAAGCCUCUAAGCAUCAGGUAACAUCAAAUCGUACCCCAAACCGACACAGGUGGUCAGGUAGAGAAUACCAAGGCGCUUGAGAGAACUCGGGUGAAGGAACUAGGCAAAAUGGUGCCGUAACUUCGGGAGAAGGCACGCUGACACGUAGGUGAAGUGAUUUACUCAUGGAGCUGAAGUCAGUCGAAGAUACCAGCUGGCUGCAACUGUUUAUUAAAAACACAGCACUGUGCAAACACGAAAGUGGACGUAUACGGUGUGACGCCUGCCCGGUGCCGGAAGGUUAAUUGAUGGGGUCAGCGCAAGCGAAGCUCCUGAUCGAAGCCCCGGUAAACGGCGGCCGUAACUAUAACGGUCCUAAGGUAGCGAAAUUCCUUGUCGGGUAAGUUCCGACCUGCACGAAUGGCGUAAUGAUGGCCAGGCUGUCUCCACCCGAGACUCAGUGAAAUUGAACUCGCUGUGAAGAUGCAGUGUACCCGCGGCAAGACGGAAAGACCCCGUGAACCUUUACUAUAGCUUGACACUGAACAUUGAGCCUUGAUGUGUAGGAUAGGUGGGAGGCUUUGAAGUGUGGACGCCAGUCUGCAUGGAGCCGACCUUGAAAUACCACCCUUUAAUGUUUGAUGUUCUAACGUGGACCCGUUACCCGGGUUGCGGACAGUGUCUGGUGGGUAGUUUGACUGGGGCGGUCUCCUCCUAAAGAGUAACGGAGGAGCACGAAGGUUGGCUAAUCCUGGUCGGACAUCAGGAGGUUAGUGCAAUGGCAUAAGCCAGCUUGACUGCGAGCGUGACGGCGCGAGCAGGUGCGAAAGCAGGUCAUAGUGAUCCGGUGGUUCUGAAUGGAAGGGCCAUCGCUCAACGGAUAAAAGGUACUCCGGGGAUAACAGGCUGAUACCGCCCAAGAGUUCAUAUCGACGGCGGUGUUUGGCACCUCGAUGUCGGCUCAUCACAUCCUGGGGCUGAAGUAGGUCCCAAGGGUAUGGCUGUUCGCCAUUUAAAGUGGUACGCGAGCUGGGUUUAGAACGUCGUGAGACAGUUCGGUCCCUAUCUGCCGUGGGCGCUGGAGAACUGAGGGGGGCUGCUCCUAGUACGAGAGGACCGGAGUGGACGCAUCACUGGUGUUCGGGUUGUCAUGCCAAUGGCACUGCCCGGUAGCUAAAUGCGGAAGAGAUAAGUGCUGAAAGCAUCUAAGCACGAAACUUGCCCCGAGAUGAGUUCUCCCUGAGACUUAGAGUCUCCUGAAGGAACGUUGAAGACGACGACGUUGAUAGGCCGGGUGUGUAAGCGCAGCGAUGCGUUGAGCUAACCGGUACUAAUGAACCGUGAGGCUUAACCUUAC
RNAcentral lists this ribosomal RNA (1679 nucleotides) under Salmonella enterica subsp. enterica serovar Heidelberg str. CVM20752. RNAcentral's name for it is "bacterial LSU rRNA". It matches the Rfam family "Bacterial large subunit ribosomal RNA", at positions 1270 to 2925 of the family's 2925-position model. The record is from RNAcentral. RNAcentral also lists the same sequence under 1 other name. Lineage: Bacteria; Pseudomonadati; Pseudomonadota; Gammaproteobacteria; Enterobacterales; Enterobacteriaceae.